Bactrocera neohumeralis is the source of this 304-nucleotide long non-coding RNA. RefSeq lists it as uncharacterized. The record is from RefSeq and is a predicted model, not a curated record. NCBI's taxonomy places the organism in Eukaryota, Metazoa, Arthropoda, Insecta, Diptera, Tephritidae. The transcript is spliced from 3 exons.
UACUGGGAUGCGAGCUGCAAUUUCUGCAACGGAAAAGCUGUCACUGACCCUCCGUUUUCUCACAACGGGAGAAUCGUUUCAAAGCUUAAAUUUUGGGACAAAAAUUUCGCGGCCAGCAAUUGGUGGAAUAAUUCCCGUAGUUUGUGGCGCUAUUUACAAAAGACUGAAGGCGUUAUAUUUGAAGUUUCCAAGCAAUACGGCAGAGUGGGUAUCAAUUGCAAAUGAAUUUGCAAUAUGAUGGCAAUUUCCAAAUUGUCUAGGCGCACUGGAUGGUAAAUACAUAUGUACAUAACCUUUAGGCCAU